This 861-nucleotide ribosomal RNA is filed under the name Halomonas sp. K4-4-025. RNAcentral describes it as "bacterial SSU rRNA". It matches the Rfam family "Bacterial small subunit ribosomal RNA", at positions 45 to 903 of the family's 1533-position model. The record is from RNAcentral. Lineage: Bacteria; Pseudomonadati; Pseudomonadota; Gammaproteobacteria; Oceanospirillales; Halomonadaceae.
GGCCUAACACGUGCGAGUCGAGCGGUAACAGGGGUAGCUUGCUACCCGCUGACAAGCGGCGGACGGGUGAGUAAUGCAUAGGAAUCUGCCCGGUAGUGGGGGAUAACCUGGGGAAACCCAGGCUAAUACCGCAUACGUCCUACGGGAGAAAGGGGGCUCCGGCUCCCGCUAUUGGAUGAGCCUAUGUCGGAUUAGCUAGUUGGUGAGGUAAUGGCUCACCAAGGCGACGAUCCGUAGCUGGUCUGAGAGGAUGAUCAGCCACAUCGGGACUGAGACACGGCCCGAACUCCUACGGGAGGCAGCAGUGGGGAAUAUUGGACAAUGGGCGAAAGCCUGAUCCAGCCAUGCCGCGUGUGUGAAGAAGGCCCUCGGGUUGUAAAGCACUUUCAGCGAGGAAGAACGCCUAGUGGUUAAUACCCACUAGGAAAGACAUCACUCGCAGAAGAAGCACCGGCUAACUCCGUGCCAGCAGCCGCGGUAAUACGGAGGGUGCAAGCGUUAAUCGGAAUUACUGGGCGUAAAGCGCGCGUAGGUGGCUUGAUAAGCCGGUUGUGAAAGCCCCGGGCUCAACCUGGGAACGGCAUCCGGAACUGUCAAGCUAGAGUGCAGGAGAGGAAGGUAGAAUUCCCGGUGUAGCGGUGAAAUGCGUAGAGAUCGGGAGGAAUACCAGUGGCGAAGGCGGCCUUCUGGACUGACACUGACACUGAGGUGCGAAAGCGUGGGUAGCAAACAGGAUUAGAUACCCUGGUAGUCCACGCCGUAAACGAUGUCGACCAGCCGUUGGGUGCCUAGCGCACUUUGUGGCGAAGUUAACGCGAUAAGUCGACCGCCUGGGGAGUACGGCCGCAAGGUUAAAACUCA